Molecule: transfer RNA, 73 nt
Filed under: Chloroflexota bacterium
Lineage: Bacteria; Bacillati; Chloroflexota
Description: tRNA-Val
Rfam family: tRNA
About the family: Transfer RNA (tRNA) molecules are approximately 80 nucleotides in length. Their secondary structure includes four short double-helical elements and three loops (D, anti-codon, and T loops). Further hydrogen bonds mediate the characteristic L-shaped molecular structure. tRNAs have two regions of fundamental functional importance: the anti-codon, which is responsible for specific mRNA codon recognition, and the 3' end, to which the tRNAs corresponding amino acid is attached (by aminoacyl-tRNA synthetases). tRNAs cope with the degeneracy of the genetic code in two manners: having more than one tRNA (with a specific anti-codon) for a particular amino acid; and 'wobble' base-pairing, i.e. permitting non-standard base-pairing at the 3rd anti-codon position.
Source: RNAcentral
GGGGCCUUAGCUCAGCGGUGAGAGCGGCUGCUUUACACGCAGCGGGUCGGAGGUUCGAAUCCCCCAGGCCCCA